This is a long non-coding RNA of Triticum dicoccoides, 1475 nucleotides long. RefSeq lists it as uncharacterized. The record is from RefSeq and is a predicted model, not a curated record. Lineage: Eukaryota; Viridiplantae; Streptophyta; Magnoliopsida; Poales; Poaceae. The transcript is spliced from 5 exons.
GUGAAUACACGUCCUAUCGUAUCUGGCGUCCUACCUACGCUCGCGCCUAGUGUACUCGCCUACCUCCCCAUCCACUACCCCGUGACCAGGCUGCCCCAUCCACCCAAGCCGGAUGCGAUUCAAAAUUCGACGCAGCUGCAGCUGCAUCGACCGGCGGAACCACGUCCUCCCCAUCGCCAGGCCUGGAUCUCAAGAUUUCUUCAUGAUUCACCAAUGAAUCUCGGUGGGGAGUCAUCACGGAUCUCCUGUUCAGAUCUGGCAUUGGUGAAUCAAGGGGAGGAGGACGACGAUUGUGGGGGUGGAGGGAUGGCGUUACCGAUUCUCCUUCACCGAGAUUCUGCAUCUCAAGUUCAUGUCCCAGAUAUUGACUACACCGACAGUCACAGAGAACCCCCAUCUGAAUCGCAACACACUCCAACUCCGUGGCCUCAAAGGUUUUUAUACUGUCAAUAUUGGCAUCGGCAUGUGCAUUAAGACAAUUUUAUGAGCAGCAUACCUAUUGAUGCUACACAGUUUUUUAUUUUGGAGCAUUGGUUGUUACAUAUAUCUACGCAUACGGUAUUCAAAACACUGCAACUACUUCUGAAUCAAAGGUCCGACUUGGCAAGAUACACGACCGCCGCGCCUCAUUAUCGGGAAGGAAAAGUGCUUUGGAGAAGGCCAUGAGAAAUUAUACAGAUCGGGUAAAGCCUACAAUCUCUCGUGCGGUGUCUGUGGACAGUUUUUGUUCAUAACCCUUGGAGUGUGUCCCAGAUCGGAGAUCGCCAGAGGAGGAAGACGGCGGCGAGUGUUCCUCCACGUCGCUUCUUCGUCCUCAAGCCAAGAUGGAGAGAAAUCUGCUAGUGACGCAGAAUCUGAAGUUCUGGAGGCCAUGCCAGACUUCUAGCCUUCCAACUCCGUGGCUGGGAAGGGUGGCUUGGGUUACAAGAUCAGGCUGCAACUGAACUGCAUGACCAAGAUAUGCCUGUCAUACCAGGAGCAACUAUUCUACCAAGCUCAAUGAAUGUAGUACCACGCAAGAGGGGUCUAAGUAGGCUAAUGAACGCAAGAGCAAAGCUAGAUUAUGAGAAUGUCAGCAAGGGAAGAUCAAAGUUUUGUUCUAUUUGCAUAGGUAAGGGCCACAUCACAUCGUGAUACCCCUCAAAGGGAGGUCUAACAAAGACACAAAGGAAAGUCCCAAAGUGUACUAAGUGCGGCCUUUCAGGCCAUGAGAGAAUUUCGUGCUCGAUAAGAAUGUUCAUUUUGUUGUUGGAAGAUGAAAUUGGUGUUACGAAAGAUGUUGUAAGCUUUCUUUUGUUGUGCUGUUUCGAAAGAUGAAAUUGGUGUUGUAGGUGUUCUUUUGUUGUCGGAAAUUAGGUUCAUUUUUGUGGCCAAGUAGUGAAUAUGUAAUUUCGGAAAUGUUAUGAGGAUGUGUAAAGUUAGCCGCGGUACUUAUUUCAGUACAAGUGCAACUCAAAUUGAACCUUUGAUGUUCA